Molecule: ribosomal RNA, 383 nt
Filed under: uncultured soil bacterium
Lineage: Bacteria
Description: bacterial SSU rRNA
Rfam family: Bacterial small subunit ribosomal RNA
Source: RNAcentral
AGAUUGAACGCUAGCGGGAUGCUUUACACAUGCAAGUCGAACGGCAGCGCGGACUUCGGUCUGGCGGCGAGUGGCGAACGGGUGAGUAAUAUAUCGGAACGUGCCCAGUAGCGGGGGAUAACUACGCGAAAGCGUGGCUAAUACCGCAUACGCCCUACGGGGGAAAGGGGGGAUUCUUCGGGACCUCUCACUAUUGGAGCGGCCGAUAUCAGAUUAGCUAGUUGGUGAGGUAAAGGCUCACCAAGGCGACGAUCUGUAGCUGGUUUGAGAGGACGACCAGCCACACUGGGACUGAGACACGGCCCAGACUCCUACGGGAGGCAGCAGUGGGAAUUUGGACAUGGGGGAAACCUGAUCCAGCCAUCCCGCGUGUGCGAUGAAGG